RNAcentral lists this long non-coding RNA (1142 nucleotides) under Homo sapiens (human). RNAcentral describes it as "HSALNT0188000". Lineage: Eukaryota; Metazoa; Chordata; Mammalia; Primates; Hominidae. The record is from RNAcentral.
AUUCUGGACACUGGCCUUGGGAAAGAAUUUAUGACUAGGUUAUUAAAAGCACUUACAACAAAAACAAAAAUUGACAAGUGGGACCUGAUUAAAGAUCUUCUGCACAGCAAAAGAGACUAUCAAUAGAGUGAACAGACAACCUACAGAAUGGGGGAAAAUAUUCACAAACUAUGCAGCCAAUAAAGGUCUCAUAUUCAGAAUCUACAAGGAACUUAAACAAUUGAACAAGCAAAAAACAAAUAGCCUUAUUAAAAAUGGGCAAAAAGACAUGAACAGACAUUUCUCAAAAGAAGACAUACAAGUGGCCAAUAAACUUAUGAAAAAAUGCACCACAUCACUCAUCAUCGGAGAACUGCAAAUCAAAACCACAAUGAGAUACCAUCUCACACCAGUCAGAAUGGCCAUUAUGAAAAAGUCAAAAAAUAACAGAUGCUGGAGAGGCUGUGGAGAAAAAGGAACACUUAUACACUGUUAGUGGGAGUGUAAAUUUGCUCAGCCACUGGGAAAAGCAGUUUGGAGAUUUCUCAGAUAACUCAGAACUACUAUUUGACCCAGCAAUCUCAUUACUGGCUCGGUUCUUUGGAGUGAAACAGAAUAAGCCUCACCCAUUUUAGGUAUUUGAAGAAAGCUGUGCAUCCAUAUAAGUCUUCCUCAUAUGGCAUGGCUCCUUUCCCCUCACAUUCCCAAUUAUCUCUUCAAAUGCAGAAUUAAUUGUCAAGAUCUAUUGAGAAUAGAGAUAAAAAAGACAUAUAAAAUGUGCUUGCUACCAUUAAAGUACCUAUGAUAUAUUGGUUUUUUUCCCAGUUCAUGUCAUGUACCUUUAUGCCCAACAGAUAUGACAGAUUAACAACUGCAAAAGAGGGAUUCUAACAGGUAAAACCAAAUUAAGUGGCCUGGUGAGUUCUGAGUGUCAGUGAAAGUUUGGUUGCAGCAUGUGUUUUCCAAGGCAUGUACAUCCCAUUAGAAAAAAGAUUCCAGUAAACUAAUUCAUUCAAAAAUGAUUUUAUUCAUCCAUUCAUUCUUAAAACAUUUCUCAAGAUGUGUUUUGGGGACCACUCUACUGAAGAAAAAUUUUCUGUGGUUAAGUAAACUCUGCAGAUUCUAUUGCUCUUUUAAGAUUUACUGCAAUAAUUUUCAUGUAA